UCGUAUCUUCCAGCAGCUGGUGUGAAUUCCUGAAGUGGAGUGCAAAAAAAAUUAGUGGCCUUGUGUGUAUCUGAGGCCAUAUGAUUUUCGUAGACCAAACUUUCACGGGCAACAUCUAGGAAAUGUGAGACUGGCUCAAGAAGAUCAACCUGGAAAAGAGUAACAAAGUGAGAUUGAGAGAGAGAAAGAAGGUAAAUGAAACAAAGUACAGUUUCAUAGCUGUGGUGCAUACAUAACAGUUGGUAAGUUUUGGUAAAAGACUAAAACACCAAUAUGCAACAUUAAUAUAGGAAUAUCUUCGAAAGUUCAUGUCCAAUUUCAUUUCAUCUUCUUGACAUGUAUAAUACAACAAAUAUGCUUCCAGUAAUUUCCCUACAAAGACAGUUCACAAUUUUACGCAAGCAUAAAUAAUACGCUUUUGAGUUUUUGCCACUUGGCCCUUCAACAGGAGUUGUGCUCUAUUAAGCGCUCGAACUAUUCAGUUUGGGCUACCAAAUACUGGAUUAAUAGCAACAAAUAUAAUAUUACUUGGAUACAAGCAAGAAUCAAGGCUAAAAUAGUAGAAUUUAUUCUGACUAUAAGGAUUAGGAUCCCAUAUUAGUUAAUAAAAUAUUUCAAAAUUAAUACAUUAACAUAUGACAUUUACAUACUGCCACAAAAUACAUUAGUUUAUCUAUGCAGGCAUCAAGAAUUGAAACCAAAGGGCUUAGAAACUAAAAAAGUUUGUUAUUUAGGAAACAGCAGGGUGUGUUCACUUACAGAAAAAUAAGCUUGUUUACUGGAAAACUUUCCCAAGAAAACUAGAAAACAGAGUUUGAUGUUCAUGUAUGAUACUUUUCCAGAUAAAGAAGUGGAAAUCAGUCAUCCUUACAUCCUAAGAUUACAACCAACCUUUGGAAAACAAGAUGAACAUGUUUUCUAUUGUUUCCUUUUAUCACUAAGACAUAAUUUUCCAUUUGGAAAACACAGCAUUUUCCAAAUCAUUCUUGAUUUGUACAGGGGCCUGAAACCCAAUCUCAGUAUGUUUGCCAUUUUUGCAUGGUUUUCAUUUGUUUCCUUUAUUAUUUUUUUUCUCUUUUUUCAUUUUAUUAAUUUCUAUA
Molecule: unclassified non-coding RNA, 1100 nt
Filed under: Hevea brasiliensis (rubber tree)
Lineage: Eukaryota; Viridiplantae; Streptophyta; Magnoliopsida; Malpighiales; Euphorbiaceae
Source: RNAcentral